UACGUAGGGGGCAAGCGUUGUCCGGAUUUAUUGGGCGUAAAGAGCGUGUAGGCGGCCUGAAAGGUCAGCUGUGAAAACUCGAGGCUCAACCUCGAGACGUCGGUUGAAACCAUCUGGCUAGAGUCCGGAGGAGGAGUGUGGAAUUCCCGGUGUAGCGGUGAAAUGCGCAGAUAUCGGGAAGAACACCCGUGGCGAAGGCGGCACUCUGGGACGGUACUGACGCUGAGACGCGAAAGCGUGGGGAGCGAACAGG
This 253-nucleotide ribosomal RNA is filed under the name uncultured bacterium. Its description in RNAcentral is "partial 16S ribosomal RNA". It matches the Rfam family "Bacterial small subunit ribosomal RNA", at positions 524 to 776 of the family's 1533-position model. The record is from RNAcentral.